Molecule: long non-coding RNA, 1278 nt
Filed under: Olea europaea subsp. europaea
Lineage: Eukaryota; Viridiplantae; Streptophyta; Magnoliopsida; Lamiales; Oleaceae
Source: RNAcentral
CUACUCUCCAAUCCCUCUUCUCAUCCUCACGCCAUUUAGAGAAGAUGAAGUUAUUAUCACGGUUGGGUCUCCAUCCUCACGCCUCUUUUCAUAGUUGCCUCUCUCCACUAAAAAUUUUCAUCUUCCUCUGAUUUGAGCCUUUUGUAACCCUAAUUUGGCAGAUUUUGGGUCCUGUCGUCUUUAAGGUAUGCCCACUUCCUUACUAUUUAUACAAUUCUUAUUCCCUUCUUCCUUAGAAAAAUCUUAAUUGACAGUCUUAGGCUUUUGUUCACCGUGAAGAUUGCAAGAAUAGUGAACAGAUUUCUCAUAUCGUACCAAGUAGAUUGUAGAAGGGUUUGAAUUCUUUCUGUAAGUCGUCUGUUAUUCUUCUGCAGUGAUUUAGUUUGUUUACAUGAAUUUAACAUUGAUUUCAGGCCAAAGUUCAAGAGCUAACUGAACAUAUUUUGAAAAGUCACAUUCCUCGAUCAGUGACUGUUCAUUUUAGAGAACUUACCAGGAAGGUUGGUGAUAUUUGACUUUUCUAAUUUUUUUCCAAAGGAACCAUCUCAUAAUUUGCAUGUAUAGCUACAGAAUUCCUGUUCAUAGCAUUUGGGGCUAGACUGGAUUCUUUAUUAUGCUGUAUAUUCUUUUUAAAGCAUUGUUUUAUUAAAUUGCAAAUUUUCAAAAAUGCAAAACUUUGUCAUUUUCUUAGUGACUCCACUAUAUCAGAGCUAAUUUCAAAAGCGGGAAUAGUGGACUAUCUAGUUACUGUUUUAUCUUUCAGAGCAUGAUUUUCUUGGUAGGUGCUUUUGAUGGUUUCCAAUACUCAUUGCUGUUGUACAUGUUAAUGUGUGUCCUACAUAUGCAAUAGAGCUUGUGUGCUUGUAGAGUUAUAACACAGAACUUGUAGGGAAGUGAACCAGGAUGUUUUGUAUCAUCUAUCUUUUUAAUAUGAGAUAUUUGACAUAUUUAUCCUGUAGCUAAUAUUUCACUACUUUUUAUAUGUUUGUCUUCAACUAAGGUUGUGGAAUUUUUCCUUAUAGGAAUCCUCAUUUAACCGAAUAACAGAUUGGGGGUGAGCUGAAAGUAUAUAUUGGAGUCAAGAAGGUUAUUUGCUUGUUCCAUGAAUUUUUGUUAUUUCUUUGGUCUUUCUAGUUUUAUUUUCUUCAUUUUAGGUAUGGUGGACCACACUAAGUAGUUCAAAUAUGAAAUUACUUGUAUAUAAUUUAUUUGUAUUUGUAUUGAUUUCGGAGUUAACUGAGUUUGUAAAUAAUACUUUGGCCUUAAUCUAUUUGGUCG